UGGCGACGGGUGAGUAACGCGUGGAUAACCUGCCGUAUACCGGGGGAUAACACUUAGAAAUAGGUGCUAAUACCGCAUAAGCGCACGGCUCCGCAUGGGGCAGUGUGAAAAACUCCGGUGGUAUACGAUGGAUCCGCGUCUGAUUAGCUAGUUGGCGGGGUAACGGCCCACCAAGGCAGCGAUCAGUAGCCGGCCUGAGAGGGUGGACGGCCACAUUGGGACUGAGACACGGCCCAAACUCCUACGGGAGGCAGCAG
RNAcentral lists this ribosomal RNA (257 nucleotides) under uncultured bacterium. RNAcentral describes it as "partial 16S ribosomal RNA". It matches the Rfam family "Bacterial small subunit ribosomal RNA", at positions 96 to 354 of the family's 1533-position model. The record is from RNAcentral.